This 890-nucleotide long non-coding RNA is filed under the name Equus asinus (donkey). Its description in RNAcentral is "lncRNA (ENSEASG00005024686.1)". Lineage: Eukaryota; Metazoa; Chordata; Mammalia; Perissodactyla; Equidae. The record is from RNAcentral.
UCUCUUCCUCCCGAAGAGUGUCCACGGGCGCUCAGUGCGUCCUCACGCACUUUCCUGCUCCAAAAAUUUGGCUAAAGUUUUGUUGGAAAGUAGCAUCCAGAUGUGGGAGAUUGUGAAAAGUCGUGCGUAGAUUUAGGAACUAGAUCCAGAAAAAAGACGAUUACUCAGGGUGGUCAACUGAAGGUGAAGUGCUGAGUCAGCCAGUCCCCUCGUCUGUGUGAUGUGCGUACAGCCAGCUUAUUUACUCGGGAGGACAGAGGGAAAAAAUAACAGGAAACCAACCCACAUCAAACAAUGAAGAUGAAUAUCAAUAUUUGUUCCUUUCCGGAUAAGAGGAGUUAUGCACAGUAUUACGUCAUCAUAGCAGCACUUGAAAGAAUCAAAGUUGCUUUGAGCUUGAAGAAUUUCCAGUACGGCAAUUUGGCUGUUGUCAUCUAAAUGAAGUAAAGUGAAAAUACAGCCUUUUAACAGAAGUAAGUAGAUAUUAUUCGAAGUAUCCAUGGUCGCCAUCUGGAAGCUGUGCUUGUUAUCAAACUUGAGAUCCAGGAACCUGGCCCGAUGCUGCCAGCAGAUGUUGCCAAAUUGCCGUCUAUACAGGAUGAACCACCUUACACUCCUACUGGUAAAAAUACCCUUUGGUUGUUUUCAGUUGUGAAAAUAAAUGAAGACCACCCAGACGAGGACACACAAAGGCUCUUUAUUCAAAGCUGGCUACAGCGAGGGCGUCAGUGCCGUCACAGGCUGCGCAGAGACUCGAAGGCAAUCCUCUACCAGUUAAUGGAUGUCCAUCUAAGUGUAACUUCAAGGGGAGAGACAAAGGGAGCAACUCACUCCACCACGAUGCUGACGUCACUCUCUGUAUGUGUACUAUUAUAAACAACACUGAGAGG